AUGUCGAGGGCCGUCAGGAUCCGCGGCGACGAGCUGGAGACGACGGAGCGGGAAGCGAAGAGGCGAAGCGUGGCAGAGGAGGGGGAGGGGACAGCUCUCCACUCCACAAGCCCUAGAUCUCCGGGCGAGCUAGCUGUUCGGACUUCCCAUCCAGAGAUACACUUGGCGAUCUUCGAGCCCAACAAAGCCCAAUCGGAAGCAAAACAAGAUCGUGUGUACGAUGUGGUCGAGUCCGUGGCGGAGGAAUCCUCCGAUCCACCCAGCCCCCCGAUCUACCAACCCUACAUUCCCGACGAGCUAGUUGAUGAUCUGGACGUACUCGCUGACUUCGAGGACGCCAAGGCCAAGUACGAAGCAGAACGGGAUCGUCGAGCUAACCUCUUCACUAUGGAGCAUCACUGCUAUAAAGCAGCCUCCUCCCUGUUCAAGACCCAUCGCUUGCUUCCUAUUCUUGAACAAGCAAGGGAUGCGACACUUCUUGCUGCUAAAUCUGUGAUUUUGCUCUCAUCAUUUGUCGAGAGUGACCCACUGAACAAGUGUUCUGGUUUAUGGUUUGAAAGGGACGAUCAUAGCAAAACCGCCCUUGUUUUGACAUCCGCUCAGCUCAUUCGUGAAAAGAAAGAACCAAAAAACCCAUUCGAGUGGAAGGUGCAGUGGACAGGCAAUUAUCAUCGUCAGGCUGAGGUCAUUGUUCACUUGCUGGACAACACAGCUGUGCCUGCCCGCCUCCUCUAUCUCCAGGAGCAUUAUGAAUUUGCUAUUUAUAAGGUUCAAGUGGACAAGCCAGUUCAGUUGGCUACUUUUACCGAGUGUGUGCGUUCUGGUCAAGAUGUUUUCAGACUCGGGAGAGAUGAAAGUCUGAAUCUUAGUAUAACUCAUGGUAUGGUGGCUUAUAAGAUUCCAUCCUGGUAUGAGAGAUGUCACUAUAUGUAUUUGUCUUGUGAUCCAUCUAGUCCCUCACUGCUUCGUGAUGAUGGAGGACCCAUCAUUGAUUUAGAAGGGAAAGUUGUGGGUCUAGUUAACAACCAUAUUAAGGAGACAUUCAUACCUUCGUUCUUAUUGCACAAGUGCUUGGAUUUUUGGAGAAGAUUCAAUUGUAUGCCUCGCCUCCAUCUUGGAAUGACGUUUACUUCAAUAAAACAUUUAGAUCCUAGCUGUAUUGAGAGAAUGACUCGUAAUCAUAACAUCGAGUCCGGUCUUAUUGUUGAGCAGGUGUCUAAAGGAUCACAUGCUGAGAAAAUUGGAAUUCGUGAGGGUGAUGUUAUUGAAAGCUUUAAUGGAAAGUACAUUUCUACUACAAUUGAGUUGGAGCAGAUGCUGAUAGACAUAUGCUGGGAUCAUUUUGAUCAACGAAAAGAGUUAUAUGCUGAAAAAGAUGUCUCCGUGAAAAUAUUUGAUGCCAUCAAACAACGCCGGAGAACUAGAAACUUGACUGCAAUUGUAUCGGAUCUUGGAGAAGACAUUGUGGAAGGUAAACAUGUCUCUAUUUUAAGUCAUAUUUUUGCAGGAGCCAAAGAUACAUCUGCUCUAAUUGUGAUGUUUUUAUUUGUUGUAGGCACUUACCCUAUCAUGCGAAAAGAAGCCAUGCCAGUCUCGUAA
This 1599-nucleotide ribosomal RNA is filed under the name Triticum aestivum (bread wheat). RNAcentral's name for it is "partial small subunit ribosomal RNA". Lineage: Eukaryota; Viridiplantae; Streptophyta; Magnoliopsida; Poales; Poaceae. The record is from RNAcentral.